Long non-coding RNA from Herpailurus yagouaroundi (jaguarundi), 1770 nucleotides. RefSeq lists it as uncharacterized. The record is from RefSeq and is a predicted model, not a curated record. The transcript has 3 exons. Lineage: Eukaryota; Metazoa; Chordata; Mammalia; Carnivora; Felidae.
AACUGACCAAAUGGCAGAAGAUAUUUGCAGAUGACAUUUUGGAUAAAGGUUUCCAUGGAGUAAAACACUCAGCUAGACAUACACUAGGUGCUCAGUAGGCAUCGGACUUGGAGCCGAGGAGACCUUCCUGUCCAUCUUCUCUUCCUACAAUGCUACCAACUCCAGCCUUCCCCAAGGAGGCUCAUGAUUGGCCCAUGACAAAGAUAAUAUGUGCUCAAAAAAAUCGAGAGAGACAUCCAGAAGAAAACACAAAUGUCUUGAAAUCCUAACUCCCAGAGCCAAUCACCGUCAACCUUUGUAUAAGCAUUCUUCUGAUCCCUUUCAUCCCACACAACUACUUGUGGAGAUGUGGCUACUCUGAGGUACGUGCUGUGAUCCUUUACCUGCCAUUUGGCCUUCAUAGUGUGUUGUGGACAGCUCUCCGUGUCAUUGCAUAUAUAUGUGUAGCUGGGUAUUCAUCCCCUUCAGUGGCUGCAUAGCAUUGCACUUUACCAGCAUGUUAUCCUCUAUUUACCCCAGUCCACUAUUGAUAACUAGGUUGUUUCCAGAUUUACAUUAUUCUAUGCAACACCAAAGUCAAAUAACCUUCUGUUACAUCUUUGCAAACUUGUCAGGCUAUCUUUUAUGGAUAAAUUCCUCGCAGUGGCAUUGAUGGAGCAAAUGGUGACGUUCAAGUCAUCUAAAAUACGCUAUUUCCUUUAAACUCAUGAUACUUCUGAAUCAUUUUUAACUAAAAGCCAAAUGCAGUGAAUUGAUCUUAGAAAAGUAAUUGACAACAUUUUCUAAAAGCUUCCCCAGGCCUGUGAGGAAGAUUGAUGAUACUGGGAUGUGGGGUUCCCUUUAACUUCUUCAUUUUCACCCAAGUCUCUAUUGUUUUUACUUCUUCUGUGCCUCCCUCACAGAUUGAUGACUUUCCCCAUUUUAGAACUGAACCCCUUAGCAUCCACCAUUUGUAUUUUAGGUCGUCUCAAAUUAGUACACAGGUAAUGGCAACAGAUAAUAACAAUAGCAAACACUUGUAUGGCAUGUACAGUGUGUCAGGCAUGCAGUGGUAUGUACUUUUCAAAUAUAGCUGAGUUCAUCUUAUAAAAAGUCUUAGGUAGAAAUUGCCAACAUCUUCAUUUCACUGGUGAAGAAACGUAGGCCCUAAAAGACUAAAUGAUUUGUUCAAAUUCAGACAGCAAAUACGUGGUUGAGCCAGGAAUAAAACCUGUGCAGUUUGGCUCCAGAAGCUUACAGGUUCAUCUAAGCCAAUGUGCCUUCCCCUGCCAGCUCACAAAGGUGGUAGACACAGGUGCUCCAUGCCCUAGCUACUCAACUUCUGUGAGCAGCCAGUCAUAAUCCCCUCCUCCCCCAGCAUCUCAGUUGAAUUAAGAUGUGGAAGUUACCUGUGUUCAUUUGGUAGGAUGUAAGCCUCUUCUUGUGUUUGAAUGAACCCUCUAGAACUAAUACAAGAUCCUGCUUUCUACAUCUCUCUUUCCCCUCCCUAUUGUUCAAAGCCAAGUUCACCAUACUCAUUCUGGAACAAAAGUCUCUUCUGGUUCCUUAUUCAAGGCAGUGGGCAAUUUUGCAUAGGACCUUCUUUCAUGCAGUUCUAAACUUCAGGGCUGGAGGAAACUGGGAUUUCUCCCUUCCUUGUUUGUAAAUAAUGUCUCUUGUUGGCAGAGUUUGUUUUAAUCAUAAAAGUAUGUUGUGUUGGUUGCAGAAAAAAAAUUUAACAGGCAGAAAAGUAUAAAGAAGCAAAUAAAAUCACUUGUUAGAGGAAAGCAC